Molecule: long non-coding RNA, 452 nt
Filed under: Monodelphis domestica (gray short-tailed opossum)
Lineage: Eukaryota; Metazoa; Chordata; Mammalia; Didelphimorphia; Didelphidae
Description: lncRNA (ENSMODG00000043075.1)
Source: RNAcentral
UAGAUUUUUAUCUCUCAGUCUCCACUUUUCUGUCUCUUUCACACAGGAAAACAAAUUGCAUCAACUACUAAAAUGAAGCAUCCUGAACCAGCUGAGCAUCCAAAGUCACACACACUGAUUGGGGGAUGAACCAUGAAGGAAAACCACAGGGUACAGUUGCAUGGAGAGUGAGCUGCACAAUGAGUUGUUGAUACAAGGCACGGUGCUAAGCUCUGGGUGUAUGAAGAAAGGUAAGAACACAAAAACAAUCUCUACCCUGAAGAGGAAGACCCCUCUAUACAUGGACAGUUUCUUAAAAAAUGCAUCCAUAGAACUCCGAGUUCAGUUAUGCAAAGGCUCUGCUCAUUUUUCUGUAUAGGAACAAAGACAAAUAGUUAUUUAUCCUCUGCUUGGACACCUCCAGUAAUGGGACAAUCAUCACUCCCUAACAAAGCAUCUCAUUUUGUUUCUAG